Molecule: transfer RNA, 72 nt
Filed under: Peptococcaceae bacterium
Lineage: Bacteria; Bacillati; Bacillota; Clostridia; Eubacteriales; Peptococcaceae
Description: tRNA-Gln
Rfam family: tRNA
About the family: Transfer RNA (tRNA) molecules are approximately 80 nucleotides in length.
Source: RNAcentral
UGGGGCAUCGCCAAGCGGUAAGGCACAUGGCUCUGACCCAUGCAUUCCAAGGUUCGAAUCCUUGUGCCCCAG